Orcinus orca (killer whale) is the source of this 235-nucleotide long non-coding RNA. RefSeq lists it as uncharacterized. NCBI's taxonomy places the organism in Eukaryota, Metazoa, Chordata, Mammalia, Artiodactyla, Delphinidae. The record is from RefSeq and is a predicted model, not a curated record. The transcript is spliced from 3 exons.
GCAGCCUUCCACAGCACCUGCAGGGGGCAGUGUCCCAACCAGAAGUUCAAGAACAUGAAUGAGUGAACAUCCCCAAGGAUAAAUCAGACAGGAGCACACCUCCCGGUGAAAUGGAAAGGUGCUGUAUUAAGAGUUAGAGGUACAGAAGUAAAGACAGUCGCUGCCCAGGAGUUUCUACUUGAGCUGGGAAGAGAGACAAGUAAACAGUGUCCACAGUUGGGAGAAGGAUGUCGAG